CCUUCCUGAAAUACUCCUUGGCCUCAGUAAAAGAGAAUAUGGCCGUUGGUCUUGGGCAAAAAUCUGUAGAAACUUCUCCAAAGCAUUUAGUGUAGAUGUUGCCAAAUAUGGAAGGUUGAUGAGGAGAGAGAUCCGCCUGAUCUGCUGGGUGCUGGUCCAGCUGAGGACGUCUUGGAUGUCUCCUGAAUGGUCUAGAGUAUCUCCUGGUUCCCACAGAUAGCCCUGGGUCGAACCAAGUUGAAUUGGUUGAAGACUUUCCUUAAAUGAUGUCAGUUUGGCCAAUUGAUGCAAACCGGCUUGAUCUUUUGGUUUGAUUGGGAUCCGCCUGAUCCAGUGUGGCAUGGUGCUUUCUAUGAUGCUGUAGAGUGCCUCUGAAUGACUUAGAAGGUCUCCUGGUUGCCAUUCUUGAGGUUGGUUCGAUGUGAAACCCGGAUCUUCCAAAUAAGGCAAGUGUAGAGCUGGUUUGGCCGGUUUUGGGAAAUUGAUCAUAUCUUCCAAAAUCCUUGACCAUUUCUCGAGAUCUUGGGCUUUCUGGAAAGCUAAUAAACUCCUCUUGACUCCUAUGAUCGGUUUUGGUUCAGGCCGCUUCUUCUUUGGGCUUGAAUCCUCUUCUAAAGUCGCAUACUCGCAGAUGGACGGGCUGAGAAACCUCUGAAUUGUAAAAUUCAUAACUUCUUGCUCCGUGAAUAUUUUGGGCAGAUUCCAAUUGGCCUGGACUCCUUCUUGAGUGUAGAAUCCAUAAAUAUUAUCCUCGUGAUUUAAACCCUCCUGGUUUGUAAGAUACGGCAUUUUUAGUGCACGUAUGUCCUGGUUGGCGCCUUGGCUGGUUGAGUAGGGUGUUGGGUCGACCUCUGGUUCAGCUGAUGAAUUGCUGGCCGCAACAUUCCCUCCUCCUUGAAAAGGUUUCGACCUCGAAACUGUAUAACCUGCACCAAGAUAGAGCAAGUCAGCUUUCAUACUCUUCUGAGAUUCUAAGGUCUUACCUUGAUAUUGUUUUGGUUUGGGGAUGGAUUGUUCAUCAGGUGGCUCUUCUUUCAGCAAAUAGGAUAGGAUCACGCCUCUGCUAUGGACAUUUGCAUUGCUUCUCUUCUUCAGCAGAUGGUCCUUCAUACUCCUAGCAGGCUCAGCUCUGGCCAUCUUUGGGUUUGAUCCUCCUAGCAACAAAAGAUUAUCCGGUGGGAUUUCUUUGAAGCUUUCUUCUUUGCAACCUGAAAAUUUUUCAACAUUCUGGACAAAGACCAAGUGAAUUAUAUCUGAUACUGGAAUUUCAUGAACAGAAUUUGUUAUGGUCGAAUUUACCUUGGGUGCAUCAGCUUGAUGAAGAAUGAUAUUCUUCUUUGGACAGAUUUGGUUAGAUGGCUGCCUUUCUUGCAAAUGUUUACCUUGGUUGGUAUAACCAUCUUCUUGUGAUAGCUCAGCUUGGUUUUUAUGUUCUUCUUGACUUAUCCCUGGAUCAAAACAUCUUGGCAAAGACAAGUGUAUUAUACCAAAGUAUAGGGAUUUAUAAACUGAAGAAAACAUAGAACAAUUAACCUUAAUGUCAAAUGUGGCAGUAAGAACUUCUUGUUCUUUGUUUGCCUUGUAGUAACCUUGCUUUCCUGUACCAAUUUCACUUUUCCUUGGACAAGACAAGUGCAUUAAUCUUGUCAUAGAAUCAAUAAAAACAUUCUGGUUUAAAGUGAAUUUUACCUCAGAUUUUGGCACUUGAACAGUACAUUGUUCAGAUUUCGGUUUCCACUUAUGGUGUGGAUUUUGAUUGAGCUCAUGAUCUGGUUCGGCACUUGGAACUCCAGUAAGCAUAUGGCUCUCAUCUGGUAUCCCUGUACCAAGAAUAUAAAUGUUUAAACCAGUAUCUAAAGGUGGUGUUAGACACUUACCUUGGUUUGAUACUUGGAUCACUGGUUUUGGUUUAUUAAGCAACUUUGAUUGCUUUGUGCUUUGAGCUUCCUUCUGGUCCAUUGGAAGGUUUGUGCCUGGCGCCUCUUCUUCUAUGUACCUAGGCUCCUUUAGACCUGUAAUAACACUCUUGGACAAAGACAAGUGCAUCAUACAAGUGGUAGAUGAUUUAUGAAAAGAUUUAUCAUGUAUAGGACUUACCUUAGCCUUUACUUGGACAAUAACUUGCUCUGGUUUGUCUUUGGACCUGAUCAAAGUGUUUUGGCCGAUACUUGUACUCAUCUUCCUGACCUUUGCGAUGUCACUCUCCUGCUCUAAACAGUGGACAAUGGCGUGCCCCUGGUUUGGCUGAAAGUUGGCUUCUUUAGGCAAGACUCUUUGAACUUCUUGUUCCACAAUUUUCCUUGCUUCUUUGGAACCAUGAGUUGGAUAUCUCCUUGGAUAUAGUUUCUGGAUUUCAGACCUUGUAUAAUCUGGUGCAAAUCUAUCCCUCAUGACUUCCUUAAGAGCUCUCCACGUUUUGAUAGCUGGCUCCUUGUAAAACCAUCUAUCAUCCUCUUCUUGUACCCACCAUUUAAAAGCAUCAUCUUUUAGUUGAUCAAUGGCAUAAGCUAGCCUCUCUUUCCUCAGGAUGUUGUUGUAGUGAAACCAUUCAUCAAGGUUCCUCUCCCAUCUUAGAUAACCUCUUUUUCCUGAAAAUUUAAAGAGUUCAACUUUAUCAGCAAAAGAGUUAUAAUCAAACCGAGAAUUAACAACAUAAGGGUUGUGGGUUUUAGAAGUUGGAGUUUGAUUGAUCCUUGAAGGAUCUGGUGGCUUGGGCUCGACAUAGACUGCCCCUGGUACAUUUCCAAAUCUCCUUUCUCCUUCAUGUGGACGUUGGCCUUGUGCCUGAUUUCUUUUCUCCAAUUGAGCAAUCUUAAUUUGGAGCUGUUGUAGAGCUGCGGACUGUUGGCUCAAGGUGGCCCUUAGGUUUUGGCCGUGUCUCUCCUCCUCCAUUGCUUCCUGAAAACAAUCUCAAAGAAAAAGUGAAGGUAUGGAAAGUUUUGGUCUAACCAAAAUAAAACAAAUGCAAAUUUAACUAAACCGAGAAAAUAUGCAAUUAUGAACCGAAAUGAAGUAACUAUACUAAAAUGAUUUUUCUUUUGGUUUUCUGAAUGCAAUUUCGAAAUUAAACAAUAUGGUAUGAAAAGAAACAAAAAUGGGAAGAAAAUAUGGAAAUUAAACUCACACUGAUUUUUUUUUUUGAAUUUUCUUAAGAUGAAAUGCAAAAACACCGGAAAUGGAAACUAAAAUGUAUACUUGACCCCAAAAUGAUAUAAACUAAGCUGAAUGAUUUUUUUUUUUUUGAAUGCAAAUAACAAACUUUUGAAACAAAUAUGGUAAGCACAAAAUUAAAAAUGGUAUAACUUUUUAUUUAUUUUUUUUAAAGCAAGAAACAACUAUGAAAAUGCAGAUCUUUUUUUUUUUUUUGAAAUGAAUGCACAAAAUCUAAAAAUGGAAAGUGGAGCUGGGGAAUGAAUGCAAACACGUUUUUCUUUUCUUUUUAUGGAUGAAAUGAAUCAAACUAGACAACAGGUCGUCUCCUAUCUCAACUCUUUAUGGGUUUUCAAUUUAUGAUGAACAAAGAACACAAAAAUGCAAAAACAGUUUUUUUUUUUUAUUUAUAAAUGGAAAAACAAAUGCAAACAAGAUGAAUGAUGCAAGGAUAGAAUGGACCUGAUUCAGGAGCUUAAGCUCUGAUACCAAAUGUUGCAGGCUGGGAUUCAGGGUGGGCAAGAUGGAUGAUGGAAGCUUGGAUGGGUCGACCAAAGAGAUGAUCGGAUGGGCGAUAUGAUGGAAUGCAAGUUAUGAACCUGAAAACAAAUGCAAAAACAAAUGAGAUAUGAUUUCUAAUAUGAUAAAACAAGAUAAAUAAAGAUAGAUAGGAUGGAAUCAAGCUGCUGGUUGUGUAACACUCUCAGCUUGAUCAAAAGAUGAUUGAAGUGGAUUGAGGUGGUGCUUUGCUUGCUGGACUGAUGUCUCUCUCAAGCUUGGCAAACGAAUUGGAGUGGAAGGAUGGGGGAUUGAGGACGCCACAAGACUCUAUGGAAAGGAGCCUUGAUAAGUCAAGGUGCUUUGGAGCUGCUUCACACAAACUCAAAAGACUUAGAACAAUAGUUUUAAGAAAACUAGAAAACUGAAUAAUUCUUAUUACUUUCAAAAAUGGGUAAUUUACAAUGAAGCAAAGACUAGAGCUUUAUAGGCUCGACAAGGACAGACUCUAACAGUCAUAAAAUGAUAAAAGGAAACAAAAUAACUUGAACUUAAAGUCUUGGGAGCAAAGGCUUUGAUGACUCCAUGGAAUAUAGCCGUUAGGCUUGAUUUGCUUCCUUCCAAAAGAGAAACUUGUGAAGACUUGUAUCUUGAUAGCUUCUGGACGUGGCCAUGAUCUUCAAGCCUUCCUGAAAUACUCCUUGGCCUCAGUAAAAGAGAAUAUGGCCGUUGGUCUUGGGCAAAAAUCUGUAGAAACUUCUCCAAAGCAUUUAGUGUAGAUGUUGCCAAAUAUGGAAGGUUGAUGAGGAGAGAGAUCCGCCUGAUCUGCUGGGUGCUGGUCCAGCUGAGGACGUCUUGGAUGUCUCCUGAAUGGUCUAGAGUAUCUCCUGGUUCCCACAGAUAGCCCUGGGUCGAACCAAGUUGAAUUGGUUGAAGACUUUCCUUAAAUGAUGUCAGUUUGGCCAAUUGAUGCAAACCGGCUUGAUCUUUUGGUUUGAUUGGGAUCCGCCUGAUCCAGUGUGGCAUGGUGCUUUCUAUGAUGUUGUAGAGUGCCUCUGAAUGACUUAGAAGGUCUCCUGGUUGCCAUUCUUGAGGUUGGUUCGAUGUGAAACCCGGAUCUUCCAAAUAAGGCAAGUGUAGAGCUGGUUUGGCCGGUUUUGGGAAAUUGAUCAUAUCUUCCAAAAUCCUUGACCAUUUCUCGAGAUCUUGGGCUUUCUGGAAAGCUAAUAAACUCCUCUUGACUCCUAUGAUCGGUUUUGGUUCAGGCCGCUUCUUCUUUGGGCUUGAAUCCUCUUCUAAAGUCGCAUACUCGCAGAUGGACGGGCUGAGAAACCUCUGAAUUGUAAAAUUCAUAACUUCUUGCUCCGUGAAUAUUUUGGGCAGAUUCCAAUUGGCCUGGACUCCUUCUUGAGUGUAGAAUCCAUAAAUAUUAUCCUCGUGAUUUAAACCCUCCUGGUUUGUAAGAUACGGCAUUUUUAGUGCACGUAUGUCCUGGUUGGCGCCUUGGCUGGUUGAGUAGGGUGUUGGGUCGACCUCUGGUUCAGCUGAUGAAUUGCUGGCCGCAACA
This 5215-nucleotide long non-coding RNA is filed under the name Brassica rapa (field mustard). Its description in RNAcentral is "long non-coding RNA (BRAP_LNC008459)". Lineage: Eukaryota; Viridiplantae; Streptophyta; Magnoliopsida; Brassicales; Brassicaceae. The record is from RNAcentral.